RNAcentral lists this ribosomal RNA (460 nucleotides) under uncultured Porphyromonas sp. RNAcentral describes it as "bacterial SSU rRNA". It matches the Rfam family "Bacterial small subunit ribosomal RNA", at positions 338 to 795 of the family's 1533-position model. The record is from RNAcentral. Lineage: Bacteria; Pseudomonadati; Bacteroidota; Bacteroidia; Bacteroidales; Porphyromonadaceae.
CCUACGGGAGGCUGCAGUGAGGAAUAUUGGUCAAUGGGCGCGAGCCUGAACCAGCCAAGUCGCGUGAAGGAUGACUGUCUUAUGGAUUGUAAACUUCUUUUAUACGGGAAUAACAAGAGUCACGUGUGACUCCCUGCAUGUACCGUAUGAAUAAGCAUCGGCUAACUCCGUGCCAGCAGCCGCGGUAAUACGGAGGAUGCGAGCGUUAUCCGGAUUUAUUGGGUUUAAAGGGUGCGUAGGCGGUUUGUUAAGUCAGCGGUGAAAUCUAGAGGCUCAACCUCGAAACUGCCGUUGAAACUGGCGAACUUGAGUGUAGAUGAGGUAGGCGGAAUUCGUGGUGUAGCGGUGAAAUGCAUAGAUAUCACGCAGAACUCCGAUUGCGAAGGCAGCUUACUAAGGUACAACUGACGCUGAAGCACGAAAGCGUGGGUAUCAAACAGGAUUAGAUACCCGUGUAGUC